AGUGGAAAGUAAGUAUGCGACACGCAGGCUCAUAACCUGAAGGUCGUAGGUUCAAAUCCUACUCCCGCAACCA
Molecule: transfer RNA, 73 nt
Filed under: Sulfitobacter brevis
Lineage: Bacteria; Pseudomonadati; Pseudomonadota; Alphaproteobacteria; Rhodobacterales; Roseobacteraceae
Description: tRNA_Met_CAT
Source: RNAcentral